GAAAUGCGAUAAGUAAUGUGAAUUGCAGAAUUCAGUGAAUCAUCGAAUCUUUGAACGCACAUUGCGCCCGCCAGUAUUCUGGCGGGCAUGCCUGUCCGAGCGUCAUUUCAACCAUCAGGCCGCCCCCCCCCCCGGGGGGUGGAGGUGCCUGUGUUGGGGACCUGCGGCUGCCCGCAGGCCCCGAAAACCAGUGGCGGGCUCGCUGUCCAUCCCGAGCGCAGUAGUUUUUCCCGAAGGAAAGAAUCUCGCUCCGGGCGUGGCGGCGGGCGCCCUGCCGUUAAAGAAACCCCCCCAAAAGGUUGACCUCGGAUCAGGUAGGAAUACCCGCUGAACUUAA
RNAcentral lists this unclassified non-coding RNA (337 nucleotides) under uncultured fungus. RNAcentral's name for it is "sequence contains ITS1". The stretch from base 1 to 105 matches the Rfam family "5.8S ribosomal RNA", at positions 50 to 154 of the family's 154-position model. Lineage: Eukaryota; Fungi. The record is from RNAcentral.